UAUAGCUCAGUGGUAGAGUAAUUGCCUAGCAAGCAUGAGGCCCUGGGUUUGAUCCCCAGUA
Molecule: transfer RNA, 61 nt
Filed under: Marmota marmota marmota (Alpine marmot)
Lineage: Eukaryota; Metazoa; Chordata; Mammalia; Rodentia; Sciuridae
Also listed under: 3 other names
Rfam family: tRNA
About the family: Transfer RNA (tRNA) molecules are approximately 80 nucleotides in length. Their secondary structure includes four short double-helical elements and three loops (D, anti-codon, and T loops).
Source: Rfam by way of RNAcentral